UGAGUAACACGUGAGUAACCUGCCCCUGACUCUGGGAUAAGCGUUGGAAACGACGUCUAAUACUGGAUAUGAUCACUGGCCGCAUGGUCUGGUGGUGGAAAGAUUUUUUGGUUGGGGAUGGACUCGCGGCCUAUCAGCUUGUUGGUGAGGUAAUGGCUCACCAAGGCGACGACGGGUAGCCGGCCUGAGAGGGUGACCGGCCACACUGGGACUGAGACACGGCCCAGACUCCUACGGGAGGCAGCAGUGGGGAAUAUUGCACAAUGGGCGAAAGCCUGAUGCAGCAACGCCGCGUGAGGGAUGACGGCCUUCGGGUUGUAAACCUCUUUUAGUAGGGAAGAAGCGAAAGUGACGGUACCUGCAGAAAAAGCACCGGCUAACUACGUGCCAGCAGCCGCGGUAAUACGUAGGGUGCAAGCGUUGUCCGGAAUUAUUGGGCGUAAAGAGCUCGUAGGCGGUUUGUCGCGUCUGCUGUGAAAUCCCGAGGCUCAACCUCGGGC
Molecule: ribosomal RNA, 500 nt
Filed under: Curtobacterium flaccumfaciens
Lineage: Bacteria; Bacillati; Actinomycetota; Actinomycetes; Micrococcales; Microbacteriaceae
Description: bacterial SSU rRNA
Rfam family: Bacterial small subunit ribosomal RNA
Source: RNAcentral